AACGCUUUGUGCUGUCCGUACUUGCCUGUAUUGUGUAAAGUGCUAGCGUGAAUGUCCAGGGCCAUAAUAGCCACGUACUCAUCACCAGAAACCGGGCCCCAGGCACUAUAUUGCCAAGAUAAAUAUAUAAUCUAGAUUAUAGUUUCGCAUUAGUCUGUAAACGUGAUUAUAAGUAUGACCGACCGUCGUGAGCAUUACCAAUACAGUGACAAGCAGCCAUCUAAAACACGAAGCUCUACACAAGCCGGGCGAUUAGCUGCCAGAUACAAGGGGAGAAUAUCUCAUUUGGAAAGGUCACCAUGGAAACCAUCCUCCAGCUAUGCCCAUAAUUUGUUUCCACGACUUCACAUCCACAUUCCCCGGGCCGUCGAUUCCUAACAAUAUAAUGAUUAACGUCACUUCCGGUUUGCAGAAUUACUGACGUACCGCUAGUGACGAUGUAGAGACGAACAUGAGAUGGGUCCUCACAGUCAUAAACACAUCGCGAGUCGCAUUUGUUGUUGCUUUUAUUCGCUCUUUUACACUUUUGUGCCUUUUUACAAAAAAUCACUUUUUGUGGGAGAACCGCACGCUGAAAUGCGUUGAGAUGAUUCACAUGUUGUGUUUUACAAAUAGGUUUCCCUUUAAAUUGGGAUUUCCUAAUCGCUCGGCAUUGUUUUCUGUGUACAUCACUGUAUAUAACGUAUAAAAAACACGAAACAUUUUGAUUAAAUAUUAUUAUUUUAAAACUAA
This is a long non-coding RNA of Saccoglossus kowalevskii, 732 nucleotides long. RefSeq lists it as uncharacterized. The record is from RefSeq and is a predicted model, not a curated record. NCBI's taxonomy places the organism in Eukaryota, Metazoa, Hemichordata, Enteropneusta, Harrimaniidae.